UUCGUCGAAUAACUUUUAAUCUGGUUAAUAUAGUACCGGAACUUCGUUGCAGCGUCAUGAUAGUGCAUUUAAUAUUUAAAUCGUAUGACAUAAUCGAUCAUCGCAGUUGUAUCAAAAAUGUACAAGUCAAUGGACGAAAAUGAAGCACCUCCUGCAACAGUCAAAGCUUCUCAAAUCAGAGCCAAUGAAACGCAAGAUGAGAACGUUCCAUCUCUCGCGCUCCUAAUAUUAGAGGUGAUGCUAUUGGUCAUAUCGUUCGAUCAAAAUGGCGGCUUGAAUGAAGAGCAAUUUAUCAUCAUUUUCCGGGUUUUCUAGUCUGCCAACCACUUCUAUUAUGUCUGGAGAGUAAUGUUCAAACCAAUUGUAAUGCGAAAUACGACAAUUGAGUAUAUCAAAAUGAAUGACUUAUCAAAUCCUUCACCAUACAUUGGAGAGAAUUCAUGCCCCUCAUCUGGUAGCCACUUUACCAUCCUUGUAUGAUUCAUUUGCAAAGUCAAAAUAUAGAGUACGGUUGUAACUAUUUACUAGAGCGUUUGAACUGGGAGAGUAAGCAUGUGAAUGUAAUGGUAGAAGUCUCAAUGUAAAAAUGUAAAAAAAAGGCUGAGGUGGCAUAUCAUACACCACCAGAUUUCUCCCUGGGUUUAACAAGGAAAUUAAUGACAAUUAGGAGUGGCAAUCUUGCAUUCUUUAGAUUUUAACCCCUUCUUUGGGUGUUGUGGAUUUCAAUUUACUGAGUGUGUCGUAGUUAAUUUAUUUGAAUGUCUAUGUCAUUAAGGCAGAAGUUUUCCCUGAAACAGGAGUUAUAAUUAAAGUAGGAUUUUGAGUACUUGUUUUAUUGCAAGAUGAAAAUAAUAGUCCAGUGAUCAGCAUGUAAUUUAAAGCUGAUUAAUAGAUUUGACAUCAUAAGUGGUGUACUAAAGAAGGAACAAUGGAUUGGCUUGAUUUAGUAAGAAGUUACACUUAUCAAAACUAUUUCAAAAAUAAUUUUCAUUUUUCCUUUACCAUGUAAUUUAGAAAUCAAAAAUGUGUGUCUCUUGUUAGAUUUGAUCUUUGCCCAAGGGUGUUGUCUAAUCAUUAUCAAGUAAUUGAACGUUAGGUUUAACACAAUCUUGUCCUAUUCGAAAGGUAAUUUGGUAGUAUCAAAUAAGUUG
Stylophora pistillata is the source of this 1151-nucleotide long non-coding RNA. The record is from RefSeq and is a predicted model, not a curated record. NCBI's taxonomy places the organism in Eukaryota, Metazoa, Cnidaria, Anthozoa, Scleractinia, Pocilloporidae.